GUGCUUACUUUGGCAGCACAUAUACUAGAAUUGGAACGGUACAGAGAUUAGCAUAGUGCCUACUUAAGGAUGACACACAAAUUUGUAAAGUGUUCAAUAUAGUU
Small nuclear RNA from Peromyscus californicus insignis, 104 nucleotides. Lineage: Eukaryota; Metazoa; Chordata; Mammalia; Rodentia; Cricetidae. The record is from RefSeq and is a predicted model, not a curated record.